CAGUAACGUAUUCCAUAAAUAUUGUACACAUAAAAAUUGUGUUAUUUUUAUUCCUGUAUGCUCAGCUGCCCAAUAACAGUCUGAGGAUUAACAUAUUUGUUAAAUGCACAAAUACAUUCUUUCACAAAUAUUAGUUUAAUAAUUUUAUAUUAAACUCCCUCUAUACUUACAAUAUGAAUUAGAUAAUUCAGAAUAAACAUUCCAUUGGAAAAAGCUACACAAUUUGUUAUAAAACAUCCUUAAAAGCAUCAGAAAGUUAAUACAGCAAUGAAGAAUUACAGGACCAGAUUAAGAAUGGUCUGCCAGCAACAACUUCAGUUAAUAUUUCUGUUUAUCUGGAUGCUGUCAUCUAUAUGAUCUCAGUAUUUUAAAAAUCAGCUUCCAGCCCAUAUGGUGGUUCAUGCUUGUAAUACCAGCAGUUGAAGAGCCUGAAAUGAGAGGAUUCCUUGAGCCCAGGAGUUCACAAGCAACCUGGGCAACAUAGCAAGAUCCAGUCUCUAUCAAAAGUUAAAAAAAAAAAAGUGUUCCUAUUUCUCCACAUCCUCUCCAGCACCUGUUGUUUCAUGACUUUUUAAUGAUUGCCAUUCUAACUGGUGUGAGAUGGUAUCUCAUUGUGGU
Molecule: long non-coding RNA, 618 nt
Filed under: Homo sapiens (human)
Lineage: Eukaryota; Metazoa; Chordata; Mammalia; Primates; Hominidae
Description: HSALNT0230056
Source: RNAcentral